Molecule: microRNA precursor, 64 nt
Filed under: Myotis brandtii (Brandt's bat)
Lineage: Eukaryota; Metazoa; Chordata; Mammalia; Chiroptera; Vespertilionidae
Description: mir-9242 microRNA precursor family
Rfam family: mir-9242 microRNA precursor family
Source: Rfam by way of RNAcentral
GGCCUCCCUCUGUGGGGCUAUCGAUCACGGGGCUCUGUGAUCGAUCACCCAGCAGAGAGAGGCC